CUGCAUUCUUCAUACCAAAAUCAACGCAAGACAUAAUCUGUCAUCUCGUGUCCAUUAGCGAGUAUAAAAGCAGCUCCUUUGUGGAGAACAGUCAAACGUUAAUUUCUCUUUACUCAAUUUGGAUCCAGAAGCCUUAUUCAAAGCCAUGUCUGGAGUCAAAGGAGGUCACAAGGAUCAACCAAAAGAUGUUGGUCAAUAUGAGAAGCACCAGGCGGACACAAAGAAGGAUAGCAGUACACCACAGCGUAAGUUAUUCACUAUGAAAAAUAAAUAAAUAGAAAAAUUACUUGAAGUAAAUAUUUUUCAUACCUGAUACAGAUGCAUCUUAAAUGAUAUAUCUUUCAGUUUUAAUUUAUUUAUUUUGCUUUUUGAGCAAAGAUGUCAAAUAUGUUCCUUAAAUUUUACAACCCCGUUUGUUCUGAAGGUUUGGCUCUGUCAUAGCUAUGGAUAUGAUGUUUGUUUAUGGUCCACCAUAUUGUUUGAAGAUGGAAAUACUUUAUAGUUCCAUAAUAAUUGCUGGACUUCAACGCGAAUUCCCAUUGGACAGUUGAAUGGCAACAAUAAUGAGAACUUCAGUAAUGGGAAAAUGUUAGCACUUCAAAACACCCCUAGAAUUAUCUCUGGUGUUUACUACUCUAAAUUGGAGAAGCAUUCAAGACAACACCCUUAUAUUUCGCAGCCGUUAAUGGUAUAUAUUGAUGGUGGGUCUAGGGAAAAUGGUAAAAUAAUUUAAAUUUGUUAUUAAUUAUUGCUGUCAUGUUUCAAUAUAGGUAAGAGAAAAAAUAAAUAUGUAUAAAUAUAAAUUUUAACUAUAAAAAAAGACAUUUAAAUCCCUAAAUUGCUGAUUAUUUCAUUGCCUUUGUAGCGCAGACUUGCAGUUUUUGGAAAGCAUGGUUUGUUACUUUUGUAGAAGCAGAAAAAUGUGAAUGACUUGCUAUCUUUUAUUAUUUGAGUUUAUUAGUUUGUGCAUGUAUUUCAAUGUUUUAUCUGUACAAUGCAUUUCAAAAAAAGUAUGGAGUGCAAUGAAAAAUGAAAAAAGCAUAGAGUGCAAUAUCCAAGAACACAUGCAGGAGAAUAGAGUUAAAGCAAUACUUCCAGACAAUUCAUGUAAAAUGGAGACUAUACCCUGAUAUGUUUACAAGUACACAUUAGGUUAUUAAUACAGGAUUACUUCUACUGUGACUACUUUGACUAGUAACUAUGAGUUAUUAUCAUGGAUGUAGUGAUGUGAAUUUGUUAAAAAUAUGUGAACACCAAGGUGCCACAAAGAAAAUCAAUACAAAGAAUAAAGAUCAUAUAGGACUAACAAAUAUCCCAUAAUGGUCAAAUAUAAAAUGCGUAUGUAAAUCUAUAAUAUUUAAACUGAUGAUAUAUUUUUGAAAUUCUUUUUGUAUUUUUAUGAAGUUCAAAUAUGUCUAUGUGUGUUUGUUAUUAGUAGAUCCAGUGGAACCUGUGGUACCUCAGCCAACUGCAUGCCAGCCAGCUAAGCAUCAACCAGCUGUGAGUCAGCCAGCCCAAACUCAGCCAGCUGUGAGUCAGCCAGCCCAAACUCUGCCAGCAAAGAGCCAACAAUCUGUGAGCAAACCAACCCAAACUCAGCCAGCCAAGAGCCAACCAGCUGUCAGUCAACCAGCUGUGAGUCAACCAACCCAAAAUCAGCCAGCUGUGAACCAACCAGCCCAAACUCAGCCAGCCAAAAGCCAACCAGCUGUGAACCAACCAGCCCAAACUCAGCCAGCCAAAAGCCAACCAGCUGUGAGCAAACCAGCUGAAACACAGCCAGCCAAGAGCCAACCAGCUGUUAGCCAACCAGCUGUGAGUCAAGCAGCUCAAACUCAGCCAGCCAAGAGCCAACCAGCUAUGAGUCAACCAUCCCAAACUCAGCCAGCCAAGAGCCAACCAGCUAUCAGUCAACCAGCUGUGAGUCAACCAACCCAAACUCAGCCAGCUGUGAACCAACCAGCCCAAACUCAGCUAGCCAAGAGCCAAUCAGCUGUGAACCAACCAGCCCAAACUCAGCUAGCCAAGAGCCAAUCAGCUGUGAGUCAACAAGCCCAAACUCAGCCAGCUGUGAACCAACCAGCCCAAACUCAGCUAGCCAAGAGCCAAUCAGCUGUGAGUCAACCAGCCCAAACUCAGCCAGCUAAUAGCCAACCAGCUGUGAGCAAACCAGCUGAAACACAGCCAGCCAAGAGCCCACCAGCAAUUAGCCAACCAGCUGUGAGUCAACCAGCCCAAACUCAGCCGGCCAAGAGUCAACCAGCAAUGAGUCAACCAACCCAAGCUCAGCCAGCCAAGAGUCAACCAGCUGUGAGCAAACCAGCUGAAACACAGCCAGCCAAUAGUCAACCAGCUGUGAGUCAACCAACCCAAGCUCAGCCAGCCAAGAGCCAAUCAACUGUGAGCCAAGCAGCUGUAAGUCCACCAGCCAAAACGCCACCAGCCAUCAGCCAGCCAGCUAGGAGUCAACCAGCCCAAACUCAGCCAGCAAACAGCCAGCCAGCUGUGAGCCAACCAGCUGUGAGUCAAUCAGCCAAGAGUCAGCCAGCCAAGAGUCAGCCAGCCAGUCAUGUAUAGUCAGUUUACAUGAAAUAAGAAUUUAGAAUUUAAGGCUGCAAGGAAGCUUGUGCUUGAAAAUAAUUGCAUGCCAAUAUAUGCUGCUUAUUUACUGAUUAAAUCUCUUAUUCUGUUUACUAUCAAAUUAACUUAAUCAUAAUAAAUUAAAUUAUUUAACGCAA
This 2738-nucleotide long non-coding RNA is filed under the name Pelobates cultripes (western spadefoot toad). The record is from RNAcentral. Lineage: Eukaryota; Metazoa; Chordata; Amphibia; Anura; Pelobatidae.